CAUUCUAUGAAGAUCGGUCCUGGUCUCCUAAAGCCAUAGAACCUCAGAGACUCAAUGUAAAUUUUUGCUGGUAUAUUAGAAGGCUCUACAAAAAUGUGAGGUUCUGAUUAAACCAUUAAGAAUAUUUGGCUUCAUAUUCAAGGCUGUAUCUGCAAUAUCUCUGAGGAAGAGAAAUCGAAAUCCCCUGCUUUCAGUUCAGUUAUGCUUGGGAGCAGAAGUAUUACAAAGAAAGCACGCGGUUUCCUACUUCAUCAUCAAUCAUGACUCAUCAGCUUUAACUGAGGAAUCAGAUGGAGAGACUGAAAAACAACUUGCCUGAAGUCACCAACUAGCAAAGAACUGGGAUUCAAAUUGGAAAAAAUUCCAAUUUUUUCCCAUGACACCAAGUUGAUCUGAAAGUUCCUCUGAGUGAAGAACGGCAUGGAAUGUAUUAAAAAAAAUUGUAAUUGCAUUUAUUUAAAAAAUUGAAACUUAGAAUCAAAAGAAGUAAAAUUCAAACGAUUGUUUGGCGAUUUUGUAGCAUUUAUACUUCCGAAGUCAUUUUAAGCUUAAAUCUGCAGCACUAACACAUUGGGAUCCUCUGUAUUUGAGUUUGUGGUAUGUCAAGUUCUGUACCAGACAAUGAACCUUAGAAUUAA
Long non-coding RNA from Talpa occidentalis (Iberian mole), 638 nucleotides. RefSeq lists it as uncharacterized. NCBI's taxonomy places the organism in Eukaryota, Metazoa, Chordata, Mammalia, Eulipotyphla, Talpidae. The record is from RefSeq and is a predicted model, not a curated record. The transcript is spliced from 5 exons.